GGAGCUAUAUCACAAAAUAUAAAUAUGAUGUUUCCACAAAUACCAAACAACUAUAUUUCCAUGCAGCAUUUGGAAUCAAAUAGGGCUUUCACGGCGAAAUUGGCUAUGUUCACGAAAUUGAAUGUUCACAAAAUUGAAGUGUUAUACGUAUAACAUUUCAAAUCCUACUAUGAGGACUGGACUAGAUUUCAAGUUCGCGCAAUUUUGAUCAAGUCUGAGGCGAAGCCGAGGACUGGAUCAAAAUGCUCCUCGUCAG
Molecule: non-coding RNA, 256 nt
Organism: Paramuricea clavata
Lineage: Eukaryota; Metazoa; Cnidaria; Anthozoa; Malacalcyonacea; Plexauridae
Source: the annotation of a GenBank genome assembly